AGUUCUGUGGCCUAAUGGUUAAAGCAUCUGCCUUAUAUAUGGGAGGUCUCGGGUUUGAACCCCAGCCGAGUCA
This is a non-coding RNA of Potamilus streckersoni, 73 nucleotides long. The record is from the annotation of a GenBank genome assembly. Lineage: Eukaryota; Metazoa; Mollusca; Bivalvia; Unionida; Unionidae.